Molecule: small RNA, 703 nt
Filed under: Pan troglodytes (chimpanzee)
Lineage: Eukaryota; Metazoa; Chordata; Mammalia; Primates; Hominidae
Description: retained intron
Source: RNAcentral
CUUCAUUGGCAUUAUGCAAGGGAAUAGUUAGGCAAUACCGUCUCAUUCUUUUUUAAAAAAAAUAACAGUGGCUCAAGAGAUAGUGGUCAUGUUGCCAACUAAUGAAAAUGUGCUCUGAAAUCCAUUCAGCUGGGUGGGCCUGAGGCAUACCGUGGGAAAGUUUCCCACCGGCUGAUUUUCUGUCCAUCUCAAGAACCUGUAUGUUCUCUUCUUUCCCUUUCCCCAGGUGCCCCCUGCUGAAUUUAGAAAAGUAACAAUAUAUCAAUCAAUUUAAAAAGGGUAGAAUAUUUUGGAAUGACGGGUUGUAGUGUUUUCUAGAGUGCUUUAGUUUUGACAUUUUAUCAGUAUUUUCCAGAGGUAAAUAAAUUUUGGAAGGAUUAUUACUUCUCUGUUGGGGCCCUAGAACAAUUUAGUCUUUUAUGGAAAAGCUGACUAUCUGGGAUCAUAUGCUCAGUUUGUAUAUUUGAGAUCUGAGAGAUCACAUUCUGAAGUCUUCUCAUAUUUAGUACACCUCUGAUUCUCACUAGUUGAAUUCAAGAACUUGAAAGGUUCAGGUCCAAGCAUCUCAUUUUGAAGGCCUAAUCACAACCAUAGUUGGGUAUAUACUUUUAGCAAUAACACUGAUAAUUUGUCAUGGCUUGGCAACUCUUGUGAAAUUUCAUAGAUCUCGUCGCUUACUGGGAGUCUGCUAUAUUGUUGUUAA